UACGAAGGGGGCUAGCGUUGUUCGGAAUUACUGGGCGUAAAGCGCGCGUAGGCGGUGAUCCAUGUCAGAGGUGAAAUCCCGGAGCUCAACUCCGGAACUGCCUUUGAAACGGGAUCGCUAGAAUCCGAGAGAGGAUGGCGGAAUUCCUAGUGUAGAGGUGAAAUUCGUAGAUAUUAGGAAGAACACCGGUGGCGAAGGCGGCCAUCUGGCUCGGUAUUGACGCUCAGGCGCGAAAGCGUGGGGAUCAAACAGG
RNAcentral lists this ribosomal RNA (253 nucleotides) under uncultured bacterium. RNAcentral's name for it is "partial 16S ribosomal RNA". It matches the Rfam family "Bacterial small subunit ribosomal RNA", at positions 524 to 776 of the family's 1533-position model. The record is from RNAcentral.